GAUGAAGAACGCAGCGAAAUGCGAUACGUAAUGUGAGUUGCAAAUUCAGUGAAUCAUCGAGUCUUUGAACGCACAUUGCGCCCCCUGGUAUUCCGGGGGGCAUGCCUGUCCGAGCGUCAUUGCUGCCCUCAAGCACGGCUUGUGUGUUGGGCCCCGUCCUCCGAUCCCGGGGGACGGGCCCGAAAGGCAGCGGCGGCACCGCGUCCGGUCCUCGAGCGUAUGGGGCUUUGUCACCCGCUCUGUAGGCCCGGCCGGCGCUUGCCGAUCAACCCAAAUUUUUUAUCCAGGUUGACCUCGGAUCAGGUAGGGAUACCCGCUGAACUUAAGCAUAUCAAUAAGCGGAGGA
RNAcentral lists this unclassified non-coding RNA (346 nucleotides) under soil metagenome. RNAcentral describes it as "partial contains 5.8S ribosomal RNA, internal transcribed spacer 2, and large subunit ribosomal RNA". The stretch from base 1 to 119 matches the Rfam family "5.8S ribosomal RNA", at positions 35 to 154 of the family's 154-position model. The record is from RNAcentral.